CGUAAACGGUGGGCACUAGUUGUGGGGACCUUCCACGGUCUCUGCGACGCAGCUAGCGCAUUAAGUGCCCCGCCUGGGGAGUACGAUCGCAAGAUUAAAACUCAAAGGAAUUGACGGGGCCCCGCACAAGCAGCGGAGCAUGCGGCUUAAUUCGACGCAACGCGAAGAACCUUACCAAGGCUUGACAUAUACAGGAAUAUGGCAGAGAUGUUAUAGCCGCAAGGUCUGUAUACAGGUGGUGCAUGGUUGUCGUCAGCUCGUGUCGUGAGAUGUUGGGUUAAGUCCCGCAACGAGCGCAACCCUCGUUCUGUGUUGCCAGCAUUUAGUUGGGGACUCACAGGAGACUGCCGGGGUUAACUCGGAGGAAGGUGGGGAUGACGUCAAAUCAUCAUGCCCCUUAUGUCUUGGGCUGCACGCAUGCUACAAUGGCUGGUACAAACGGCUGCAAUACCGCAAGGUGGAGCGAAUCCGAGAAAGCCAGUCUCAGUUCGGAUUGGGGUCUGCAACUCGACCCCAUGAAGUCGGAGUUGCUAGUAAUCGUAGAUCAGCAACGCUACGGUGAAUACGUUCCCGGGGCUUGUACACACCGCCCGUCACGCCACGAAAGUCGGUAACACCCGAAGUCAGUGGCCCAACCGCAAGGAGG
RNAcentral lists this ribosomal RNA (646 nucleotides) under uncultured Actinomycetes bacterium. RNAcentral's name for it is "bacterial SSU rRNA". It matches the Rfam family "Bacterial small subunit ribosomal RNA", at positions 801 to 1449 of the family's 1533-position model. The record is from RNAcentral. Lineage: Bacteria; Bacillati; Actinomycetota; Actinomycetes.